GGGGAAUUUUCCGCAAUGGGCGCAAGCCUGACGGAGCAAUACCGCGUGAGGGAGGAAGCCUUUUGGGGUGUAAACCUCUUUUAUUAGGGAAGAAUUGAUGACGGUACCUAAUGAAUCAGCAUCGGCUAACUCCGUGCCAGCAGCCGCGGUAAUACGGAGGAUGCAAGCGUUAUCCGGAAUCAUUGGGCGUAAAGCGUCCGUAGGUGGCUUUAUAAGUCUUUUGUCAAAUCGUGCAGCUUAACUGCAUACGGGCGGAGGAAACUAUAGAGCUAGAGUGCGAUAGGGGUUACAGGAAUUCCCAGUGUAGCGGUGAAAUGCGUAGAUAUUGGGAAGAACACCAGCGGCGAAAGCGUGUGACUGGGUCUGCACUGACACUGAGGGGCGAAAGCUAGGGGAGCGAAAGGGAUUAGAUACCCCUGUAGUCCUAGCCGUAAACGAUGACAACUAGGUGUGGUUCGUAUCGACCCGAGCCGUGCCGUAGCCAACGCGUUAAGUUGUCCGCCUGGGGAGUACGCACGCAAGUGUGAAACUCAAAGGAAUUGACGGGGGCCCGCACAAGCGGUGGAGUAUGUGUUUUAAUUCGAUGCAACGCGAAGAACCUUACCAAGGCUUGACAUCCUCGGAACCUUCUUGAAAGGGAGGGGUGCCUUCGGGAACCGAGAGACAGGUGGUGCAUGGCUGUCGUCAGCUCGUGUCGUGAGAUGUUGGGUUAAGUCCCGCAACGAGCGCAACCCACGUUUUUAGUUGCCAGCAUUUAGUUGGGCACUCUAGAGAGACUGCCGGUGACAAACCGGAGGAAGGUGUGGAUGACGUCAAGUCAGCAUGCCCCAUACGCCUUGGGCUACACACGUACUACAAUGCGUUGGACAAAGAGCCGCCAGCCCGCGAGGGUGAGCCAAUCUCAUAAACCAGCGCUCAGUUCAGAUUGCAGGCUGCAACUCGCCUGCAUGAAGGCGGAAUCGCUAGUAAUCGCAGGUCAGCAUACUGCGGUGAAUACGUUCCCGGGCCU
This 1009-nucleotide ribosomal RNA is filed under the name Leptolyngbya sp. SEV5-3-C2. RNAcentral's name for it is "bacterial SSU rRNA". It matches the Rfam family "Bacterial small subunit ribosomal RNA", at positions 356 to 1381 of the family's 1533-position model. Lineage: Bacteria; Bacillati; Cyanobacteriota; Cyanophyceae; Leptolyngbyales; Leptolyngbyaceae. The record is from RNAcentral.